GGCAGUGAUGAGAUUGUGAAAUGACCCAAGUUUGGAAUUAAUUUAAGGCUGGAAAACUAACUUUCAUUAAAAAAUAUCUAACUAUAGGUUCUUUCUUUCCUUUGAAAGCCUACACUUUUACCAAGUGAACACAUCGCAGAUGAUUUAAUCAUCCUCUAAUGCUAAAGAUCUUGGCUUUUACAAACUCUGUGGGUAAGGAGAGAAGAGAUGGAUAAUGACAUCAGGACAGCAUUCAUUUUCUAAGAAACAAAGUCUUGGCAGUUAGCUCUGCAGAUAAAGAUCAUAAAUGAACUCCAUACCGCUGAUUGAAUCAUCCUGUAAUCAUGAAGACCCUGGCUGUUUGUUACCUCUGGGACUAAGGAGCGUAAAGGCUGAUAGUGAACAUAAGACAGCUGACUUAAAGAGCCAUCAUCGUGUGCAAGGAGCAUAAAGACGAAUAUAAUGGUUUCAGUCCCUGUCCAGUAAUGAAGAUCUCGGCUGUUACCCCUGUCUGUGGGCAAGAGCAAUAAUGCAGAAGACAAUGUCUGAUUGAAUCAGUCUGUGCAGAUGAAGAUCUUGGCCGUUACCUUUGUGG
Long non-coding RNA from Hipposideros armiger (great roundleaf bat), 574 nucleotides. RefSeq lists it as uncharacterized. The record is from RefSeq and is a predicted model, not a curated record. The transcript is spliced from 6 exons. NCBI's taxonomy places the organism in Eukaryota, Metazoa, Chordata, Mammalia, Chiroptera, Hipposideridae.